UCGAGGGGCAUCACGGGGUAGCAAUACUCUGGUGGCGACCGGCGCACGGGUGAGUAACGCGUAUGUAACCUACCCUGUACAGGGGGAUAGCCCGGAGAAAUUCGGAUUAAUACCCCAUAAAGAUAUUUUGAGGCAUCUUGAGAUAUUUAAAGUUUCGGCGGUACGGGAUGGGCAUGCGUAACAUUAGCUAGUUGGUAAGGUAACGGCCUACCAAGGCUACGAUGUUUAGGGGUCCUGAGAGGGUGAUCCCCCACACUGGUACUGAGACACGGACCAGACUCCUACGGGAGGCAGCAGUGAGGAAUAUUGGUCAAUGGGCGCAAGCCUGAACCAGCCAUCCCGCGUGCAGGAAGACGGCGCUAUGCGUUGUAAACUGCUUUUCCAGGGGGCGAAUAGCUUCGACGUGUCGGGGUAUGACGGUACCCUGGGAAUAAGCAUCGGCUAACUCCGUGCCAGCAGCCGCGGUAAUACGGAGGAUGCAAGCGUUAUCCGGAUUUAUUGGGUUUAAAGGGUGCGUAGGCGGAGUAAUAAGUCAGUGGUGAAAACCUACAGCUUAACUGUGGAACUGCCAUUGAUACUGUUAUUCUUGAGUGUGGUCAAGGUAGGCGGAAUGUGUAAUGUAGCGGUGAAAUGCUUAGAUAUUACACAGAACACCGAUUGCGAAGGCAGCUUACUGGACCAUUACUGACGCUGAUGCACGAAAGCGUGGGGAGCGAACAGGAUUAGAUACCCUGGUAGUCCACGCCGUANACGAUGAUCACUCGCUGUUGGCGANACACAGUCAGCGGCUAAGCAAAAGCAUUAAGUGAUCCACCUG
Molecule: ribosomal RNA, 817 nt
Filed under: uncultured bacterium
Lineage: Bacteria
Description: bacterial SSU rRNA
Rfam family: Bacterial small subunit ribosomal RNA
Source: RNAcentral